Molecule: transfer RNA, 541 nt
Filed under: uncultured Prochlorococcus sp.
Lineage: Bacteria; Bacillati; Cyanobacteriota; Cyanophyceae; Synechococcales; Prochlorococcaceae
Description: partial 16S-23S ribosomal RNA intergenic spacer
Rfam family: tRNA (bases 212-284)
Source: RNAcentral
CAGGGAGACAACAAAAUGUUUAAUAUUAUUAUUUUGUCACCUUAGGUCGAUCGGUAUCUCACAUUCUUAAUUUAUUAAGGAUUUCAUUUCCUAAGUUUUUCUAGGUCACACCCAUUAUUUUUCCUGGGCCAUUAGCUCAGGUGGUUAGAGCGCACCCCUGAUAAGGGUGAGGUCCCUGGUUCAAGUCCAGGAUGGCCCAUAUCUCUAUGUUGGGGGUAUAGCUCAGUUGGUAGAGCGCCUGCUUUGCAAGCAGGAUGUCAGCGGUUCGAGUCCGCUUACCUCCACUGAUUACCACCUCUUCCAUAAUUUGAUUAAGGAAAUGUUUUGAGUUGUGAUCAAAUUCUGAACGAUUCUAGCUUCCUAAUGAAAUCAUUAAGAUGCUGGACUCAUUGAAUUAAUUUCAUUGUUUUCAGAGAACCUUGACAACUGCAUAGAUUAUUUUUAAAGACAAUAAGCAUCUUUAAUGAUGCAGAUUUAUUAUUUGUGCGAAUGCAUUAAAUAACAAUUCUAUUAAGCUGAUGCUUCAAUUAUUGAAGUUAUU